UGGGGGAUAUUGCACAAUGGGGGGAACCCUGAUGCAGCGACGCCGCGUGGGCGAUGAAAUACUCCGGUAUGUAAAGCCCUGUCAGCAGGGAAGAAGCAGGACAGUACCUGACCAAGAAGCCCCGGCUAACUACGUGCCAGCAGCCGCGGUAAUACGUAGGGGGCGAGCGUUAUCCGGAUUCACUGGGCGUAAAGGGAGCGCAGGCGGCACGGCAAGUCCGGUGUGAAAGCCCGGGGCCCAACCCCGGGACUGCACUGGAAACUGCCGGGCUGGAGUGUCGGAGGGGCAGGCGGAAUUCCUAGUGUAGCGGUGAAAUGCGCAGAUAUUAGGAGGAACACCGGUGGCGGAGGCGGCCUGCUGGACGACGACUGACGCUGAGGCUCGAAAGCGUGGGGAGCAAACAGG
RNAcentral lists this ribosomal RNA (405 nucleotides) under uncultured bacterium. RNAcentral describes it as "bacterial SSU rRNA". It matches the Rfam family "Bacterial small subunit ribosomal RNA", at positions 355 to 776 of the family's 1533-position model. The record is from RNAcentral.